ACUCCUACGGGAGGCAGCAGUGGGGAAUAUUGCACAAUGGGGGAAACCCUGAUGCAGCCAUGCCGCGUGUGUGAAGAAGGCCUUCGGGUUGUAAAGCACUUUCUAGUAGGGAGGGAAGGUAGUGUAGUUAACACCUGCACUAUUUGACGUUACCUACAGAAGAAGCACCGGCUAACUCCGUGCCAGCAGCCGCGGUAAUACGGAGGGUGCGAGCGUUAAUCGGAAUUACUGGGCGUAAAGCGCAUGCAGGCGGCCUGUUAAGUCAGAUGUGAAAGCCCGGGGCUUAACCUCGGAAUUGCAUUUGAAACUGGCAGGCUAGAGUCUUGUAGAGGGGGGUAGAAUUUCAGGUGUAGCGGUGAAAUGCGUAGAGAUCUGAAGGAAUACCAGUGGCGAAGGCGGCCCCCUGGACAAAGACUGACGCUCAGAUGCGAAAGCGUGGGGAGCAAACAGGAUUAGAUACCCU
RNAcentral lists this ribosomal RNA (463 nucleotides) under uncultured bacterium. RNAcentral's name for it is "bacterial SSU rRNA". It matches the Rfam family "Bacterial small subunit ribosomal RNA", at positions 335 to 788 of the family's 1533-position model. The record is from RNAcentral.